Molecule: ribosomal RNA, 253 nt
Filed under: uncultured bacterium
Lineage: Bacteria
Description: partial 16S ribosomal RNA
Rfam family: Bacterial small subunit ribosomal RNA
Source: RNAcentral
UACGAAGGGGGCUAGCGUUGUUCGGAAUCACUGGGCGUAAAGGGCGCGUAGGCGGCGCGACAAGUCAGGCGUGAAAGCCCCGGGCUCAACCCGGGAAUUGCGCUUGAUACUGUCGUGCUUGAGGCCGGGAGAGGAUGGCGGAAUUCCCAGUGUAGAGGUGAAAUUCGUAGAUAUUUGGAAGAACACCAGUGGCGAAGGCGGCUCACUGGCCCGGUACUGACGCUGAGAUACGAAAGCGUGGGGAGCAAACAGG